GGAUCAGUAUGUCGGUCGUGCCUCGGUAUGUACUGGCGUCACUGAUUCCUCCCUUCUGACGAACCAUCAUGCUAUUAAUUUAGUGUGGUGGGAAAUCAGGACUGUUACUUUGAAAAAAUUAGAGUGUUUAAAGCAGGCUCACGCUUGAAUACAUUAGCAUGGAAUAAUGAAAUAGGACGUUGAUCCUAUUUUGUUGGUUUCUAGGAUUGACGUA
RNAcentral lists this ribosomal RNA (214 nucleotides) under uncultured Glomus. RNAcentral describes it as "partial small subunit ribosomal RNA". The stretch from base 39 to 214 matches the Rfam family "Eukaryotic small subunit ribosomal RNA", at positions 686 to 864 of the family's 1831-position model. The record is from RNAcentral. Lineage: Eukaryota; Fungi; Glomeromycota; Glomeromycetes; Glomerales; Glomeraceae.